This is a long non-coding RNA of Hevea brasiliensis (rubber tree), 471 nucleotides long. RefSeq lists it as uncharacterized. Lineage: Eukaryota; Viridiplantae; Streptophyta; Magnoliopsida; Malpighiales; Euphorbiaceae. The transcript has 2 exons. The record is from RefSeq and is a predicted model, not a curated record.
AAUGAAUCUCUCUCUCUCUCUCUCUCUCUCUCUCUCUCUCUCUAUAUAUAUAUAUAUAUAUAUAUGUGGGCACCAACUGUUCUGCAACUAACUAAAGCAAAAAGAUUUCUCAAUAUGAGCAACAUUCAAGCAAGGGGUGGGGCAACAAGCAUUCCCAAUGAAUCAUGAAGCAUUGCACUCCUAGAUCUCUUGGUGGCUCUGCUCUUUUGAACCGACCAAAUUAACUAUGAUGGGUGAUGAAAGGUUAGUCCUUUUGUUCCUUGUAGUCCCAUGCCCUCUAAUUAUACCAGGGGAUGGGAUGGUACUUGUUGCAAAUAUAUAGUUUGUAAUAUUUCAGCACCACAAAAAGAAACCCAACCCAAAAGGUGAAGAAUAUAGAGGGAAGUUGUAAUUUGUAAGCUUUCUUGCAAAUUACUAAUUUUCUUUUGUUCUGCUACCUGGAAUGUUCUUUUGAGCUCAGCCUCACGUCAA